UUGGUCUCCUUAAUAUUUUCAGUCCAGAUUUGAUGUAUCAAAUGUCAAUAAAAAUGUCCAUUGACAGUAAGUUGAUAAGCUUGAAUGUUUAUUUACGAGAUCAUUUCAUUGUUUUAAAUAUUAUUCUCUUUUAAUAUUAAAAAAAAUAUUCUUAAACUUUUGUGUUAGUAUAUUUGUGUAUCCAUAAAAAUAGCUAUUAAGGCGACCAGGGAAAAAAUCAUAAUUUUGGUCAAAAAUAGCUAUAUACUAAGCAUUUUUUAUUUGUUUUACUUUAUUUAAAGCUUAUUGUAUAUUAUCCCGAAGUUUCAUUCCAUAAAAAACAGAAAUGAGGAAAUUCGAUAUUUCGUGUACCAUCAGCAUCCAAAUUUUCAAGUAUACAGAAAUUUAACUUUCCGGAAUAUAACGGAAAUUUUCGGGUAUCUCCGUGGUACCAUCUCCGUGCAAUCAUGCAGUAUGGCGUUCAUCUCUUACAGAAAGAGAAUGGUAACUUGUGUCAUGGAAAGCUGGAACUUUUCAGUACACAACAUGCAAACUGAGAAUGAACUGUGUGUGCCGGCUUUGUGAACAAAAACGCAAGGCGGCUAUGAUACACUGUGUUGUGUGUGGAUAAGAAAUGCAGAGUGGUACCACCAAUUACCUAAGCCACCAUUCCCCUAACAGACAAAAGGCUCAUGGGGACAGUUCCUGCAGUUUACAGCAAAUUGUAGCCCUACAAACUUCAGAUACUGCCAAGCUUGGGUGCACUGGGCCGGUUAUCCAGCCGUGUGGAAUCAACAUCUCCAGCUGAACUUGGGCCGGGAAUUAUAUAAGAAUCCUUAGCAGCAUGAGUGCCAGCCAGUCAUUGCUGUUCUUUGCAUUGCUGAGGAGGACAGUCCUGCCAACAUAACAGUUUGUUCAAUAACAGGAGACAAACAGAAACACAGAGGUGCUAUACAUUCCGAUGGAAAAUACAACAAAAUCUCCCAUCAUUUUGGCGUGGCUCAGAUCAGGAGGAGAAUUUUAAGAAAGGUGAUGGUUGGGCACACACAAGAAGACAUAGAUCACAUGUGUCCAGGCAUAUGAGUAGACAGGAGUUUCACACUCUGCCAAACUUACUUCAUCAGAGGAGCAGAAAGCUUCUCAAGAUCCCGCACUGCACACUUAGAUAUAGUCUUUGACUACAACAAGGGGAUGAAAGUACAGAGAGGUCCAAUUGAAAUCAAUUCUGUGCUGCGUCAUUUCUUCAUUCUGGAAGUCGAUGGACAUGAUUUAUCAUGGCAUCAGGUGUGCAGUUUGUCGACUAUCAGCAGUCUUGUUCACCAGUUGUGCAACUUGAGCUGGUAGCUUUAUUGCUUGAAGCCACAGCAUAAGAGGGGGAAGGUGCAGGCUCAUCAAAAAGUCUCAAAAGUUGAAACUAGGAAAAGAAGUUUGUCAAGAGUGUGAAUAUUUGCUUUGAAAACCAUCGUUACGAUGAUUUGGUUUCCUUUGAAACUUGAUACAUACUAUGUGUAUGUUGAAUGAAUUGAGAUGCUUAAAUAAAGAACCGCUAUUCAAAUAUCAGGAAACUGCAUUUUUCAUACUAAUGGGUAAAUGAUGUCGCCAUUUCCUGUAUGUAUUUAAAUGAGAUAUGUUUCCACAAUUAAUAUUUUUAGGGAAUUUUUCUCAUCCUAAUGAAUGAGAUUAAAUUGUACAGCGUUAUAUGAGCUUAAUAUGUGUUUUCUGGUUCUUUAAAAUUGGUGAAAAAUUGUCAGAAGAUAAUUAGACCAUUAUCCAUUACUGCAAUCACACAAUCAAAUAUACAGGGACAAACCCACUGGGCAUAUAAUAUAAUUAAACCCUGUUCAGGGGCACGAGGCAAACAGAGUUUCUUUCAAACGUUAAAGCUGCACUCUCACAUUUUGGACUCACAUUUUGGACGUUUUGACAACUUUUCUCAUUUUAUGUCUUGGAUUGGAACCAUCCAAUUUUUGCGAAAAAUUAAAUGGCAGAUUUUUCUAUUUAAGUUAAAACAUUGAUGUUUUAUGCACUUUUCUUAAACCGUUAGUAACAUUAAUUUUUGAACGGAAAUAUGAAAUCUGUGAUCUGAUCUUUUGUCAGCAAUCUUUUAUCAUUGGUUUGCAGAUAAUAACGCAAAAAAAUUGCUCAUUCAAAAACAAAAAAAGUUGUGAAAACGGUAUAUCUGUGGGAGUGCAGCUCUUAAUGUUUAAUUUCUUGAUUUUACUACUGUAUUAGAAAUUACAGGGGUUGGGGCAUAUUUUUAGUGUUUUUAUUGCUUUUUAUGAUUCAUACAGUCAUACUUUAUUCCUCAGGGCAUAACUUACAAAUAGACAACACUGGAAAAUGGUCGUUUCAAAAGGCCAAAGAUAAUGCAAGUUGAACAAUCAUAUUGUUCAUGGCUUGUAUUUUUGGUAUAUUUUGUUGCAUAUGCUAUAGAAAAGUUGAAAGUUAAAAAUAAAUUCAUAGUUGAAAUGAUGGCUUUGAAUGGUAUUGUCAGAUGAGAAAAGGCACUUUUCCUUUUAGAGAAAUAGGUAUAAUGGUACUUUAUUUAUUUUGAUCAAUUUUAGAUAUUGUAUGAAAAUUAUUAUCUUAUUUAGUACAUGAGACCUUUUAAACAGUUAUUGACAAUAUAACAAUGUGUAUAUGAAGCUUUAGAUCAACACUUAAAGCUGCACUCUUACAGAUUGUCAGUUAAGACACAAAAUUGUCUCAAAAUCUGCUGAUUUGGUUAUCAUUCCUUUAAUUCAGUCAUAUUAGAUAAUUCACAAUAGAACCCAUCAGAAAUGUAAAAGUGCCGAAAAUUUCAUUUACAUUAAAUUGUUCGUAAUGCUUUUAGCCAUAAAACAUCAUUUUUAGCUCCACUGGCCGUCGUGAGUUCGUGCGUGCGUGCGUGCGUGCGUAAACUUUUACUUUAAACGACAUCUCCUCUGAUAAGCGGAUUUUGACAAAACUUCACAGGAAUGUUCCUUUGGUGGUCCUUUACCAAAAUUGCUCAAAUGGUUCCGGUCCAUUGCACAAUAUGGCCGCCAGAGCUAAAAAUAGCAAAAUCUUUAAACGACAUCUCCUCUGAAACGGUUCGGCAGAUUUUGAUGAAACUUGACAGUAAUGUUCCUUGGGUGGUCCUUUAUUAAAAUUGCUCAAAUGGUUCUGGUCCAUUGCACAAUAUGGCCGCCACAGCUAAAAAUAGCAAAAUCUUUAAACGACAUCUCCUCUGAAACGGAUAGGCAGAGUUUGAUGAAACUUGACAGAAUUGUUCCUUGGGUGGUCCUUAACCAAAAUUGCUCAAAUGGUUCCGGUCCGCUGCACAACAUGGCUGCCAGGGCAAAAAAUAGAAAAACCUUUAAAGAACAUCUUCUCAGAAACCGAUGAUCAGAUUUUGAUGAAACUUAAUAGAAAUGUUCCUUGGAUGGUCCUUUAUCAAAUUUGCUUCAAUGGUUUCGGUCCACUGCACAAGAUGGCCACCAGAGGUAAAAAUAGAAAAACCUUUAAACGACUUCUCCUCAGAAACCGAUGAUCGUAUUGCAAUGAAACUUGACAGAAAUGUUACUUGGGUAGUCCUUAACCAAAAUAGCCCAAACAGUUCUGGUCUGCUGCACAACAUGGGCACCAGAGCUAAGAAUAGAAAAAAAACGUUAAACUACAUCUCAGAAACCGAUGAUCAGAUUUUGAUGAAACUUGACAGAAAUGUUCCUUGGGUGGUCAUUAACCAAAAUUUGUUAAAUGGUUCCAGUCCACUGCACACCAUGGCUGCCAGAGCUAAAAAAUAAAAAAAAACUUUAUACGACUUGUCGUCGAAACCGAUGACCUUUUUUCGAUAAAACUUGACAGAAAUGUUUGUUUGGUGCUCCUUUACUCAAAUUGCCCAAAUCAUUUCGGUCCACUGCACAACAUGGCAGCCAGAGCUAUUAAAGUAAAAAAUUUUUUUUAAAUAACUUCUCCUCAAAAAUUGAUGAUUAUAUUUCUAUGAAACUUGACGAAAAUGUUCGUUAGGUGGUCUUUGCUUGAACCUUUUGGCCAGUGGAGCACAGGCACUGAUGUGCCUCUUGUUUUAACAUAAAUAUGAUAAACUGCUAUCUGAUCUUUUUUCAGCAUUCUUAUAUCACUUAAAAUUGGGUCUAGACAUUUAUGCAAAAAAAUUGUCCAUUUAUAGACAAACAAUAAAAGAGUACCGGUAGUCAAAACGAUCAAUCGGUGAGAUUGCAGCUUUAAAUACACCUUUUAAGACCGCUGUAAAAUUCCAAUGGUUUGCCUAAAUCUUUAAAGCUAGCAUACUGUUUAAUUAACAACCAUACUUAUUGUUUAAAAGUGUCAUGAUAUCUUUGUACAAUGUUUUUUAUAUAAUUCAUUAAAGAAGUCAAAACAAAUUUGUUUAUCUUGUAAAUUGUUUUCUAUUAUUUAAAUGACCCAGACAAAAAUGGGAACGUCA
This is a long non-coding RNA of Mya arenaria, 4402 nucleotides long. RefSeq lists it as uncharacterized. The transcript is spliced from 7 exons. The record is from RefSeq and is a predicted model, not a curated record. NCBI's taxonomy places the organism in Eukaryota, Metazoa, Mollusca, Bivalvia, Myida, Myidae.